Molecule: ribosomal RNA, 466 nt
Filed under: uncultured bacterium
Lineage: Bacteria
Description: partial 16S ribosomal RNA
Rfam family: Bacterial small subunit ribosomal RNA
Source: RNAcentral
GACGAACGCUGGCGGCGUGCUUAACACAUGCAAGUCGAACGGAAAGGCCUCUUUCGGGGGGUACUCGAGUGGCGAACGGGUGAGUAACACGUGAGUAACCUGCCCUUGACUUUGGGAUAACUUCAGGAAACUGGGGCUAAUACCGGGUAGGAGCUCCUGCUGCAUGGUGGGGGUUGGAAAGUUUCGGCGGUUGGGGAUGGACUCGCGGCUUAUCAGCUUGUUGGUGGGGUAGUGGCUUACCAAGGCUUUGACGGGUAGCCGGCCUGAGAGGGUGACCGGCCACAUUGGGACUGAGAUACGGCCCAGACUCCUACGGGAGGCAGCAGUGGGGAAUAUUGCACAAUGGGUGGAAGCCUGAUGCAGCAACGCCGUGUGCGGGAUGACGGCCUUCGGGUUGUAAACCGCUUUCGCUCAUGACGAAGCUUUGUGUGACGGUAGUGGGGAAAGAAGCACCGGCUAACUACGU